GAUGAACGCUGGCGGCGUGCCUAAUACAUGCAAGUCGAGCGAACGGACGAGAAGCUUGCUUCUCUGAUGUUAGCGGCGGACGGGUGAGUAACACGUGGAUAACCUACCUAUAUGACUGAGAUAACUUCGGGACACCGGAUCUAAUACCGUAUAAUAUUCUGAACCGCAUGGUUCAAAAGUGAAAGACGGUCUUGCUGUCACUUAUAGCUGGAUCCGCGCUGCAUUAGCUAGUUGGUAAGGUAACGGCUUACCAAGGCAAGUAUGCGUAGCCGACCGGAGAGAGUGAUAGGCCACACUGGAGGGGAGACAGGGACCAGAGGCCUAAGAGAGGCAGCAGUAGGCAAUGUUCGGCAAUGGGCGAAAGUCUGGCGGAGCGACGCGGCGUGAGUUAUGAAGGCGUUCGGAUCGUAAAACUGUGUUAUUAGGGGAGAACAGAUUUGUAAGGAACUGUGCAGAGCGUGACGGUACCUAAUCAGGAAGCCACGGCUAACUACGUG
This 497-nucleotide ribosomal RNA is filed under the name uncultured bacterium. RNAcentral's name for it is "partial 16S ribosomal RNA". It matches the Rfam family "Bacterial small subunit ribosomal RNA", at positions 28 to 507 of the family's 1533-position model. The record is from RNAcentral.